UGUCAGAUGGCCGAGCGGUCUAAGGCCUGGCGUUCAGGUCGCAGUCUCCCCUGGAGGCGUGGGUUCGAAUCCCACUUCUGACAG
RNAcentral lists this transfer RNA (84 nucleotides) under Merluccius polli (Benguela hake). RNAcentral's name for it is "tRNA-Leu". It matches the Rfam family "tRNA". From Rfam's summary of the family: Transfer RNA (tRNA) molecules are approximately 80 nucleotides in length. Their secondary structure includes four short double-helical elements and three loops (D, anti-codon, and T loops). Lineage: Eukaryota; Metazoa; Chordata; Actinopteri; Gadiformes; Merlucciidae. The record is from RNAcentral.